Molecule: non-coding RNA, 577 nt
Organism: Oncorhynchus mykiss (rainbow trout)
Lineage: Eukaryota; Metazoa; Chordata; Actinopteri; Salmoniformes; Salmonidae
Source: RefSeq, a predicted model, not a curated record
AAAUCUUUUCACAUCAGAUCUUUUUCCGUGCCGAUUGGUCAAAAAAACAAUUAGUGCCUGUGUAGACCAGUGUUUUCUAACUCCAGUCCUCGAGUAGCCCCAACAGUACACAUUUUAGAUGUAGCCCCGGACAAGCACAUCGGAUUCAACUUGUCAUCAACCCCACAAGACAUGCCACCAGCGGUCUCUUCACACUCCCCAAUUCCAGAGCAGAUUGUGGGAGGCGCACAGCACUAAAUAGAGCCAUGACUACGUGGAAAUAUAUUCCACAUCAGGGCAGGCGGUGCAUGAACCCAUCCCAUGGGCACUAUGGAAGUUCAUGAUUGGGCCAACCCUGACAGCUGGCCUGUGCUGGACUAUACUGACACUGGCUGCUACUGUGGGAAGGGCAGCUUGGGCACAACCGUGAAUCCACUGGACAGGCUUUGUAUGGCAGAAUUCAUCAAGCAGAUGGAUAUGGACGAAACCCCAGUAAAAGGGGAUACAAAGGUUGAGGUCCAUGUGAUGAUUUUUUUUAUUUUUUUUAUCACAUAAUUCCUCAUUUAAUUUUUUUAUUAAAUAAAAUCUGGGACAUAAA